RNAcentral lists this ribosomal RNA (397 nucleotides) under uncultured bacterium. RNAcentral's name for it is "bacterial SSU rRNA". It matches the Rfam family "Bacterial small subunit ribosomal RNA", at positions 29 to 419 of the family's 1533-position model. The record is from RNAcentral.
AGUGAACGCUGGCGGCAGGCCUAACACAUGCAAGUCGAACGGCAGCACGGCAGUAGCAAUACUGUGGGUGGCGAGUGGCGGACGGGUGAGGAAUACAUCGGGAUCUACCCUGUUGUGGGGGAUAACGUAGGGAAACUUACGCUAAUACCGCAUAAGAACUGAGGUUGAAAGCGGCGGACUCGCAAGAGCCUCGCGCUAUUGGAGCGGCCGAUGUCAGAUUAGGUAGUUGGUGGGGUAAAAGCCUACCAAGCCGACGAUCUGUAGCUGGUCUGAGAGGACGACCAGCCACACUGGGACUGAGACACGGCCCAGACUCCUACGGGAGGCAGCAGUGGGGAAUUUUGGACAAUGGGCGCAAGCCUGAUCCAGCCAUGCCGCGUGCGGGAAGAAGGCCUUC